UUCAGAGCCUCUGAAGGCGCUCAGGUUGAAGUUACCGUCAGUCGAAACACACUCCUACAGCUCUGUGUGUGUGUGUGUGCGUGUGUGUGUGUGUGUGUGCGUGCGUAUGUUUUCUGCUUCUCCACAUGGAUUUAACACCAAAGCAUGAUGGGAGUACAGCGGCUGUCCUCGUCCUGUCAGAGGAUUGUUAAAGUUGCUGCAGUGUGAGGGGAGAGCAGAGAUUCCUGCAGGAGUCGCCUGACGGGACCUCAGGUCUGAGGAUCUUCAUGGACGGACCAAAGAUGGCAGCUUUAGGAACAGCUCUCCUCACUUUAGCGUCAGUCCUCCUGCACGUGGCGAGAUGUCAGGGCAGUAUGGGAAAAGGGAAAGACAGCUCGCCGCUAAGGUUCACACAUCAUCUUUACAAUGCCACUAUCAACGAGAACUCAGCCCCGCGGACGUACGUGGAGACGCCCGUGAAGAUGGGCAUUGAAAUUACAGAUGUGUUCUGGGAAAUCAAGUAUAACGUUGUCUCAGGUGAUGACGACGGCCUCUUCCAGGCAGAGGCGGUUAAAGUCGGGGAUUUCUGCUUCCUCAGGAUCAAAACACGCAGCAGUAACUCGGCACUCCUCAACAGAGAGGUCAGAGACACUUACGCUCUCACUGUGGCCGCGACCGAAAGCACUUUUGACUUCCAGGCGAAGACAAAGGUGUUGAUCCAGGUGCUUGACACCAACGACCUGAAGCCUCUUUUUUAUCCCGCCUCGUACAAUGCGGCCAUCAGAGAGGACACUCCACUCAAGUCGAGUGUGGUGAAGGUCAGUGCCACAGACGCCGACGUCGGCAGCAACGCUGAGUUUUAUUACUCCUUCACCAGCAGAGCUCAUCCGUUCGUCGUCGACCCUUUCACGGGCACAGUCAGCCUCGUCAAGAAGCUAAAUCACACCCGCACGGCGAGGUACGACCUCACCGUGUUGGCUGAGGACAGGACGAAGAAAAUAUCUGGUGUUCAGAAAUUUGGAAAUGUUGCCAGGGUUACAGUAAACGUCCAGAAGACAUCCACGAGUUCUCCAGUUAUCACACCUCCCCCCAAACCCACAGUGUCCACAGACGGCAGAAUAAGUAUUGAUGUCCACGUGGAGGCCGGCGUUAAGCCCGUGGAAUCCCUCCAUAUUGUUGGAGGAGAUCCCCACAAGUGUUUUGAGAUAAUCCCGUCAGGUGUGCAGGGCAGAGACUUCCAAGUGAUCUCCACAAAGAGGAUUAUCUGGUCUCAAACUCCUUUUGGGUUGAAUCUGUCCCUUCAGGCUAAAGACCGGAGCUUCCCCAGUUUACUCUCUCCAAUUACACACAUCCACAUCCCGGCUCAUCAUUACAGCCCGCUGGCGUUUCUCGAGGACACCUACAUCGUCACACUGAGCGAGUUUUCACCGCCUAAAACUCAUGUAGUCAAAGUCUCUGUCUCCUCUGUGCCUUUUAACGUCACCUUCAGCAUCAAAAAUAAUGCUGACAGCACCAAAUUCAGGAUUAACCCCAGAACAGGAAUCAUAGUAACGACGGCGAGAUUUGACUAUGAGAGGAAGGAAAGAUAUGAGUUCGAUGUGAUGGCGAAUCACGGUGAGGCUGAGACUCACGUGGUGAUUGAGAUUACGGAUGAAAACGACAACAGCCCACAGUUCAGCCAGACGUCCUAUCAGGCCACUCUGGAUGAAAACGCCCCUGUCGGUAGCAGCGUUCUGAAAGUCGUCGCCACAGACAGAGACAAAGGCAAAAACAGCUUUGUGACGUACACUAUAGCGAACGCAGGCCCGUUACCUUUCAUCAUAGACCCGUUCACAGGCGUCAUCUCCACCUCCGAACACUUGGACUACGAGCUGAUGAAACGACGCUACCAUCUGAGAAUCUGGGCAUCAGACAGCGGCACCCCCUUCAGUCAGGUCAGCGAAUGCCCCGUGACAAUAACCCUCAACAACAUCAACGAUAACUUCCCUCUGUUUGAGAGGGUGGGCUGCAACACCACCGUGCCUCAGGACUUGCCCGUGGGACACACCAUCGCUGAGCUGUCGGCCAUCGACGUGGACGAGCUGCAGCAGCUGAGGUACGUCUUCGAGUCGGGGAACGAGCUCCAGGUGUUUGGUAUCGACCCGGUGUCAGGCGCCGUCACCCUGAAGCAGCCGAUCCCUCUGAGAGCAAACUCGUUCGAUUUAAAAGUUGUAGCCACAGAUGGCAAACAUUUCUCAGAGGCUUCAGUCAUCAGGGUAACCGUCACUAACAGAGGCGAUGAUGCGACGCUCCAGUGCCAUGAAACGGGCGUUUUCAAACAGCUGACCGAUAAACUGAUCGAGUCCAUCAAACCCAUUUUAACCAUUCAAGAAGAAGACACGUUCUCUGAUCUGCACAUCACCAACCGUCACUCUCCAAAGUUUGACCUGAGCAUCCCAGGUUCUAUUGACCUCAUUGAGGACCAUCCGCUGAAUUCCACCAUCGUCCAGUUCAAGGCGACGGACGCUGACUCUGGAUUCAACAGUAAGCUGGUGUAUGCCAUCUCCAGUGGGAACGAGGACGGCUGUUUCUCCAUCGACGUUUUCUCUGGUGACCUUCAGUUAGUCUGUCCGUUAGACAGAGAGAGUAAAGAGUUCUACAUCUUGAACAUCACUGUUUAUGAUUUGGGAAUACCGCAGACGUCUGCGUGGAAGUUUGUUGCAGUGAACGUCAUGGACGUCAACGACAAUCCUCCGGUUUUCGAUCAGCCCAGAUACAUGAUCCAUGUGCCUGAAAACACGGAGGUGGACUCCAUCAUCUUCACAGCUCGUGCAGUAGAUCCUGACACAGAUAUGAGCGGGAGUGUCCAGUACUCCCUGCUGACGUCCACUGACAUGUUCAGGGUCGAUGAAGUGACUGGCGAGGUGACGGUGACAGGCCGUUUGGAUCGGGAAGCCUCGCCCAGGCAUGACCUCCGGAUUGAAGCCAGAGACCAGGCCAAGCUGGGCCCUCAGCUGUUCUCCAUCAUCGACCUGGUGGUGGUUUUACAGGACAUAAACGACAACCCGCCAAAGUUUGUGCCCAAAGUUUACAAAGUCAAAGUUCCCGAGGACGUUCCUGUGGGCACGCUGCUCGUCUGGGUCGAGAGCGUCGACUUGGAUCAGGGCAGCGGAGGCCUCGUCACCUACAACCUCAAGAACACAGAGGGCGGGAUCUUCCACCUCGACUCCUCCACGGGCGCCUUGAUCCUGGAGCGGGAGCUGGACUUUGAGAGACGGCCAUUUUACAACCUCACGGUCCGAGCGGUGGAUCACGGCCUCCCUCGCUCCUUGUCCUCCUCCUGCUUCGUGGAGAUUCAGGUUCUGGACGUGAACGAGAACCUCCACAGGCCUGUGCUGUCAGAGUUUGUGUAUGAAGCCGGAGUGAUGGAGGACUCAGUGGUGGGGACGUCCGUGGUCACACUCACAGCUUCAGAUAAAGACCUGGGCAGAGACGGAGUCGUCAGGUACCACAUCCAUGAAGGCUCCGGUCUGGGCGUCUUCGCCAUCAACGAGGAAACAGGUGUGAUUCGUACGACUGAGACGUUGGACCGCGAGACGACGCCUCACUACUGGCUCUCCGUCUACGUCACUGAUCUGGGAACCGAACCUCUGAUCUCCUGGACGCACGUCUUCCUGGAGGUCCUGGACGUUAACGAUAACGCUCCAGAACUCUCUCAGCCCGUGUACUUUGCGUCCGUCCAGGAGAACGUGGACAAAGUAAAGUCAGUCGUCCAGGUGUUGGCGACAGACGUGGACACUUCCUCUGAGGGGAAGCUCUCCUACCAGAUGCUGGAAGCUCAUCGGACUUACUUCGAUGUGGAUCCCAAAACAGGUGUCAUCAGCACUCUCUCAGCGUUGGAUCGGGAGGAUAAACCAGAGCACAGUGUCGAGGUCAUCGUGUCAGAUAAUGGCUCCCCACCUCUGCGCUCCACCGCCACCGUCGUGAUCCGAGUGCUGGACGCCAAUGACAACCGACCAAAGUUCACUGACAAACUUUUCCACGUCAAACUCCCGCAGCAGCGCCGGCAGGCGGGUAAACAGGAAGUCUGCAGGAUGGUCGCUCGUGACGACGAUGAGGGCGCCAACGCCGUGGUGACCUACAAGCUCCAAGACAACAAGGAUGAGGCGUUUGAGAUCGACCCUGUGACGGGCGUGGUGACAUCACAUGGUGACUUCUGGCCUGGAAACUACAGUAUUCUCACGAUUAAAGCUACGGACCAGGGCAGCCCGUCACGCUCGUCCACGUCGAGACUCGACAUCGAGUGGAUCGCCCGCCCCCCGCCCUCUGCUGAGCCAAUCACGUUUGAUGAGCCCCACUUCACCUUCGCUGUCAUGGAAACGGAGCCUGUCACUCACAUGGUGGGCAUCAUCAUGACGGAGACGCACCCGCUGAGGUGGUUCGACAUCAUAGGUGGUGAUGAAGAAAAGGACUUUGACAUCCAGAGGAAUACAGGAACCAUCUCCAUCGCCCGCCGGCUCGAUGCAGCUCGACGCUCCAACUACAACAUGACAGUGCGGGUCACCGACGGCCAUCACAGCGCCACCACACAGGCCUACAUCCGUGUGCUGGACAUGAACGAGCAUCGGCCUGUCUUCCUGAAGCCGCUGUACGAGGUGAGGGUUCCCGAGGACACCUCGCCUUGGAAGGACAUCCUGCAGAUCAGCGCGCAGGACGCCGACACCAACAGUAAACUGGUGUACUCCAUCCACAGCAGCCUCCACCCUGACAGCACCAAGUUCUUCCAUCUGGACCCCAAGAGUGGAGUCCUGGUGAUGACGGAGGAGCUCGACUACGAGAUGAUCUCCACUCACACGCUCAUCGUCAUGGUGCGUGACCAGGAGAUCCCCGUGAAGAGGAACUUUGUGAAGGUGGUGGUUCACGUGGAGGACUGUAACGACCACUCGCCGGCGUUCCUCAGCCCUCGCUACGAGGCCAGCCUCUCUAACCUGGCCCCCACAGGCUCUGAGGUCAUCCGGGUCAAAGCCCUGGACAAAGACAUGGGCAGCAACGCCGACAUCAGCUACUCUCUGAACUCUGGGAACAUCGACAACAUCUUCUCCAUAGAUCCCGAGCUGGGCUCCAUCACUGUGUCCAGACCUCUGGACCUGCAGCCUCAGGACCAGUUCCACCUGACCGUGAAGGCGACUGACCAGGGCUUCCCUCAGCGCAGCGACCUCUGCUCCGUCCACGUCCACAUCCGCAUCUCAGACCACACUCCACCUGCCUUCCCCUCCGAUGAAUACCUGACAGAGGUCAGUGAGUCCAGCGCCCUGGGAACACCGGUGGUCACCAUCUCGGCCUCCAGCCCUGCCGCAGUGCACUAUGGGAUAGAAAGUGGCAACCCAAACGGGACGUUUCAUAUCAACCCGUACACCGGGCUGAUUUCAGUCCAGAGGCAUCUCGACUUUGAGAGCUGUGACUCCUACAAGCUCAAAGUGACGGCUUCUACCACAGCCGGAGCCUCGUCCAGGACGGCUGUUCACGUCUACGUGGUCGACGAGAACGACAACGCUCCUGUGUUCAAACAGAGGGAGUACCUGGGGCAAAUCAGUGAGUCAGCUCACAUCAACAGCAUGGUGAUGGGGGAGAGGAACACGCCUCUGGUCAUCCAGGCGUCAGACGCAGACAAAGAUUCAAACUCUCUGCUGGUGUUUGAGAUCCUGGAGCCGGACGCUCUGAGCGUCUUCAGGAUGGACUCCAGUAUGGGCACCAUCUCUUUGAUCUCACCUGUGGACUUUGAGGCCAAGGCUGAGUAUCACUUCACUGUGCAGGUGAAAGACUCUGGGGAGUCGUCGCUGUAUGCAGCAGAGCCCGCCAAGGUCACCAUCCGCGUCCUGGACCUGAAUGACUGCCCGCCACAAUUCAGCACCUCAGUGUAUGAGCCAUCCAUCAUCUCCCCGCCUGUCAGAGACGCAGAGGUCGCACGCGUCACGGCCCACGACGCUGACUCUGCGGUCUCAUACAGCAUCACCGAGGGGAAUCUUCACAACGCCUUUUCAAUUCACCCCGACACCGGUGUCAUCACUGUGAGCAACGAGUCUGACUUCAGGCCGUUUUACCAGCUGGUCAUCAGAGCAUCUGACGGCCUCUACAAAGACUCAGCCACCGUCAGGGUCAAUGUCACAAACCUGACAGACAGUGAUCUGGUAUUUGAGCACAAAGUGUACUCAGCCAGCGUCACAGAAAACCUGAAGACGGUGAAAACUUUGUUGGCGCUCAAAGCAACAGGCGUUUUUUUAAACGAGCCUGUUUUAUAUUCUGUGGUGAACCCGGUGGGGAAGUUUGUGAUCUCCCAGACGUCUGGCGUUCUAGAAACAACCGGUUUCCCUUUUGACCGGGAGGAACAAGAUGUUUAUGACGUAGUGGUGAAGGUAGAAGACAUGAGAACGCCGCCGAGAACAGCCACCACCCAGGUGAAGGUUUUUAUCGAUGACGUCAAUGACAACGCUCCACAGUUUUUAAACUUGCCUUUUUCAAUGAUGAUUUCUGAAACCACCGAACCAGGAGACGUUUUAUAUCAAGCAACCGCCGUGGACAGAGACCUGGGAGAGAACGGAUCCAUCAUGUACUCACUGGAGGAGGACUACAACCUCUUCAGGAUAGAUCCUGAUGUAGGCGAUGUGUCCCUACAGCGGCCACUUGACUUUGAAGCUCUGAAUAAAUACGUGUUGACAGUCUUGGCUACAGACGACGGCGAGCCCGGUCACACCACAGCGGCAGAGCUCAGCAUUCAAGUGAGGAAUCAAACCAACCCAGUUUUCCAGACUCUUCUGUAUCCACUCAAAGUCCCCGAAAACGUCCCUCCGUUCACCACCAUCCUUCACGUCCAGGCCAGGAACCCAGAGGGCUACCGGCUCAUUUACAACCUGCAGGAGGAAAACGCCUCGCAACACUUUCACAUUGAUUUCAAAACUGGCGUGUUGACCGUCACCAACCCGCUCGACUACGAGAGCCAGACCAUGCACGUGUUGACAGUUAGAGCGACUGACUCUGUGACCGGAGCUUUCUCUGAGGCCUCCAUCGAAAUCGAAGUAGAGGACGUGAACGAUAAUGCCCCGGUUUUCUCAAAGCGGACGUACACUGUGGACGUAGUUGAGGAGCUCCCGAUCGGCACCUCUGUGAUACAACUGUCUGCCUCUGACAGAGACUCUGGGAGGAAUAAAGAUCUGACCUUCCAGAUUGUGAAAACGGAGAAGAACGAGACUGACGUCUUCGACAUCGACCCACACAGCGGGUUGAUCGUCACAAAACAGGUGCUCGACCACGAAAACACAAAACACUUUGAUUUAAGAAUCAGAGCCACCGAUAACGGCACCGUCCCUCUCAGCAGCGAAGCUCACGUCUUCAUAAAUGUCACCGACGUCAAUGACAACCCACCAGACUUCGUCAGCUCCCAGUAUGACGCCACGCUGGAUGAAAUGGCAAAGUGCGGCCACAUCGUCAUCAAAAUCCAAGCCUCAGACCCGGACACCGGCGACCUGAACAACCUCAGAUACAAAAUCCUCUCAGGGAACGAAGGUCGCUACUUCAACAUCAACGAGUCGUCAGGAAUCAUCUCGUUCUCUAACGUCUGUAAGAGGAACCUGGAUCCGUACUAUAACUUGACGGUGGCAGUGUCGGACGGAGUGUUCCAGAAAACAGCUCCAGUCAACAUCGACAUGAUCAACAGCAACAGGCACAGUCCGCACUUCAAGCAGAACAUCUACGAAGCAGAGCUGGCUGAGAACGCAGAGGCGGGAACUCGGGUGAUACGCCUAGCGGCCAUCGACCCAGACGACGGGCCGUACGGCAGCGUGGACUACACCAUCAUCAACAAACUCGCUGAUGAGAAGUUUGCCAUCGACACCGACGGGCAGAUUGUCACGACGCAGCCAUUGGACAGAGAGAACCCUGCCCAGAGGGUCAUAGCUAUCAAAGUGAUGGCUAAAGAUGGCGGCGGGAAAGUGGCCUUCUGCACGGUGAAGAUCAUCCUCACAGACGAGAACGACAACAUCCCUCAGUUCAAAGCGUCAGAAUACCAGGUGUCAAUCCAGUCCACCGUGAACAAAGGCUCCCCCGUCAUCCAGAUCAUGGCUUAUGAUGCAGACGACGGCAAAAACGCAGACGUCACCUACACGGUGGAUGAAGCCGAAGAGGUGACGGAGGACAUUAUCGAGAUCAACCCUUUCACCGGAGUCGUGAGUGUGAAGGAGAGUCUGGUCGGCAUGGAGAACAAGAUCUUUAACUUCAAAGUCAAAGCUCGUGACGGCAGCCUUCCUUUCUACAACUCCACCGUCCCCGUUCAGCUCAAAGUGGUUCCUCCUGAGGUUCCUCUGCCCAAGUUCUCAGAGCCGCUCUACACCUUCUCAGCUGCAGAGGACGUCCCCAUAGGGACGGAGGUGGGCUCGGUGAGGGCGGACUCCGACAUGCCUCUAAUCUACAGCCUGGUGAACGGGAACACGGUGGAGAGCAACAAGGACAAAGUCUUCAGUCUGGAUAAAGAAAGUGGAACGCUGCUGCUGCAGAAGACCAUCGACCACGAGAAGACAAAGUGGUAUCAGAUCGAUGUGAUCGCCCAGGGGAACCAUAACGGGACGGAUGUGGCGUCGCUGGUGUCGGUCAGCAUCCAGGUCCAAGAUGUGAACGAUAACCAGCCGGUGUUUGAUGCUAACCCGUACAGGGCCUUCCUGGCUGAGAACAUGCCGGCUGGAACCACCGUGAUCCAGGUGACCGCCAACGACCCGGACACAGACACCAAUGGCCUCGUGACCUACAGCCUGGAGUCUCUACCUGAUGACGCUGCGGCUGACAUCACUGACAUCUUCUCCAUCGACGGAGAGAGCGGCUGGAUCACCACUGUACGGCCGACGGACUGCGAGGCCACCAGGGUUUACAGGUUCAACGUGCUCGCCACAGAUCAUGGCGGCGACAUCAAGCUGUCAUCCAGCGUCCUGGUGGAGGUGACGGUGACGGAUGAGAACGACAACCCGCCAAAGUUCUCAGAUGAAGUGUACCGCGGCUCGGUGGUGGAGAACAGCAGCCCCGGGGAGGUCAUCGUCUCCAUGACGACCACAGACUCUGACGUGUCACUGGAGAACCGUCUGGUGACGUGUUACAUCACAGACGGCGACCCUCUGGGUCAGUUCGCCAUCAUCCAGGAGGACGACGGCGAGUGGGGUCUGAUCGUGAAGGAAGCUCUGGACAGAGAGACCAAAGACAGAUACACGCUCAGAGUCACCGCCACCGACGGGAAGUACGAGGCUCCGGUUACCGUGGACGUCCACGUGUUGGACAUCAAUGACAACAGUCCGCUGUGUGAACAGCUGGUGUACACGGAGGCGGUGAUGGAAAACUCGCCCUCCAGCAUGUUUGUGCUGAAGGUUUCGGCUUCAGACCCAGACGUGGGAGCUAAUGGACAGAUCUCCUACACCCUCCACGGUCCCGACGCAGACAAGUUCCAUCUCGACCACAGGACAGGCGAGCUCUUCACACUGGCCGUGUUGGACCGGGAGAAGGAGGUGGAGUAUAAUCUGGUGGCGAAGGCAACGGACGGCGGCGGGCGGUCGUGUCAGGCGGACAUCCGGCUGAUGGUCCAGGAUAUGAACGACAACCCACCUCACUUCUCCUCCAGCCACUACGAGGUCACCGUGUUCGACAACACCACCGUCCGAACUCCCGUCGCUGUCAUAUACGCCAAAGACCCCGACACUGGUAUAAACUCUGAGGUCAAGUACUCCCUCCUGGCGGGCGACAGCGGCUACUUCUCUCUGGACGAGUUUUCAGGGAUCCUGCGUCUGGAGCGACCUCUGACCCCUGACACCCCGCCCACCUUUGAGCUGAAGGUGAAGGCCACUGAUCGCGGCCUGCCUCGUCACCUCUACUCUGUUGCCACGGUGACGGUGGACGUGGUCUCCUUGGACGACUACCAGCCCGUCUUCCUGAGCUCAGAGUACACGGCUCAGCUCCCAGAGUCCUUAGCGGUGGGGUCGGAGGUGCUGAGCGUCUCCGCGCUGACGAGGGACGGAGGAGGGCCGGAUCCUGUCUUCUACCGCAUCGUGUCCGGCAACGAGGACGGACGCUUCCUGCUGGACUCACGGACAGGCCUCCUGACCCUCAGCGCCCCGCUGGACUUUGAAGUUUUGCGGGAGUACUACCUGUCUGUGGAGGGAAGUCGUGGAAAGUCGUCCCUCAGUGACAUCACCACGGUUAUCAUCAACGUGACCGACCUGAACGACAACGCGCCGGUGUUCGGACGAGGCGACUACAGUGCAGAGGUGUCAGAGGACCUGACGCCUGGAGGCCUGGUGAUGAAGGUCACAGCCACCGAUCAGGACGGACCCAUCAACAACCUGCUGCGUUACUCCAUCGUGAGCGGAGACCCUCUGCAGCAGUUCACAAUUCACCCUCGCAGUGGAGAGAUCAGUGUCCGCACGGCGCUGGACAGAGAGGAGAUCCCUCAUUACUCUCUGACGGUGCAGGCAGCAGAUGAAGGAGACCCUCCUCUGUCCUCUGCCGUCCUCAUCACCAUCACCGUCACAGACGUCAACGACAACCCGCCCGUCUUCUCUCAGGUCAACCACAGUCUGCUGCUGCAGGAGGGCGAGUCAGUCGGCACCGGGAUCCUCCAGCUCGUGGUGACGGACAGAGACACGCCCAGGAACGGCCCGCCUUUCUCCAUCCACAUCGUCAGCGGCAACGAGGACCGCCGUUUCCACGUGGACCAGGGCGGCCUGCUGUCGCUCUCGGCUCCUCUCAGAAAGAAGGUCAAACCUCAUCAUCAGCUCAAGAUACAGGUGACGGACAGCGGCCACCCUCCCCUCUCCUCCAUCUGCGUGGUCAACAUCAACGUCACCGAGCAGAGCAAGUAUCCUCCCUCUGUCGUACCUCUGGAGGUCUUCAUCACCUCUUCUGGCGGCCUGUUUGCCAACCGGGUCAUCGGCCGGCUCCACGCCUCCGACCAGGACCUGCAGGACGUCCUGACCUACAAGCUGGUGUCAGAGAGUCCAGACGAAGGACGCUUCUCCGUCGACCUGACUGAUGGAAAAAUCUGGGCGGAUGAAAACCUGAAGGAGGGCUCCUACUCCCUCAACGUCAGCGUGACAGAUGGGAAGUUCAGUGUCUGGACCGGGGUCAAAGUUCACGUGUGGGCGGCCAACCAGAGGACGCUGGACUCUGGCCUGACGCUGCAGCUGGUGGGAUUGUCCCCGGAGGACUUUCUUGGCGACCACUGGAGAGGCCUGCAGCGCAGCCUGGGGCAGGCUCUGGGUUUACCCCGACAGGAGCUCCACCUGGCCAGCCUGCAGCAGCUCCCUGAGACCCGGGUCCUGGAGGCGCUGCUGAUCUGGAGGCCUCAGAGCGGACGAGUCCAGUCUCUGCCGACCAGCAGACUGGCAGGCAUUAUAUCGGACAUCGAGGACUCUCUGGGCCUCAGCAUCCUCAGGGUGAGUCACAACGGCUGUCUGGGCGCCGGCUGCCCGCCGCGAGGCUGCAGGAACGCCGUCAGACUGACAGCAGAGAGACUGAGCCAUUUCACCACCGCCAGAGCCGCUUACAUCACCCCGCAGCACACCUGGGAGAGCGUCUGCCCCUGUAACGAGUCGGCGCUGAGGUUUGACGGUAAAUCGCAUCUCAAGUUCUUCCACCAGAUGGACGAGGACAACCAGGACUUCAGACUGUCACUGAGGUUCAAGACUUUCCAGGAGCACGGCCUCAUCGUGUCCACCAACGGCUCCAAGGACUGGGGAACUUUAUGGGUGGCAGAUGGAGAGCUGCAGUUCAGGUACCGCUGUGGAAGCUCCGCCCCUUCUUCCUUACCUGUCACAUCUGACCUGGUGUCAGACGGCAGGUGGCACAACGUCCUGCUGGAGGUCAACUCCAGCGCCCUCAGACUGACCCUGGACCAGCAGCACCCGGCCUCCGUCCCCCUCAGCCAGCCGUGCAGGAUGCUGCGCUCCCAUGGUGCUUUGCUCUUCGCUUCUCUGACUCAGGACUCUGCUCCAGACGUCCGCCAGCAUCCACACAAUUUCAUCGGCUGCCUCGAGGGGCUGGAGCUCAACAGGGAGCCAAUCAGAGUGGGUGACGUGGCGGAGUGGGCGGGGCCGGGGAGCAGGAGGGUGUUUGGGGUGUACCAGUGCUGCAGCAGGGCGGGCGCCUGCGACACCAACCCCUGUGAGAACAACGGCGUCUGUGAGGAAGACGCCAGCGGAGAGCCGCGCUGCAGGUGUGCAGGACUCUUCCACGGCGCCCGCUGCGAGCUGGCUGACAACCCGUGCGCCUCUCAGCCGUGCGCCCACGGCAGGGUGUGUGUGCCAAAGGCUCAGGGCUACAUGUGCAACUGCUCUCUGGACGACGCUGAUGCACGGUGUCACAAUCAGAUCGAGGUGUGUUCGCCCAAAUCGUGUCCCGGAGGCUUUGACUGUAAAGUGACUGACGGCUUGAUUCACUGCGACCCGCUGCCUCAGGUGUCUCCAAUGAUCGGCUACAUGGAGAUCAUGGAGAUCAGCGUCGCCGUGCUCGGCGUUCUCCUCUUGGUCGGCAUGUUCGUCUGCAUCAGGAAACGUUACGUUCAGAAAAAGAAGAAGAAGCCCGUCUGCGUGCAGGACUCCAACGGAUAUUUCCAGUCCAGUCUCGCCAAGAGCCUCAAAGCCGACAGCCAGGAAGGAAACCCCAUCGAGAUGAGCUCGCUGGUCGGUCCCACCAACGACCUCGACCACACGCCCUUCAGGUCGCUCCGCCCACGCAGCCAGAUCAUAUCGUCAGGAGGCGGGGUUUCCUCUCCAAAGACACAGGGGCCGGUGGUGUGCAGCGUUGCACCGAACCUCCCCGCUGGGCCGCCGUCCAGCUCUGACAAUGACUCCAUCAGGAAGAACCACUGGGACAUGGACUAUGAAGUCUAUCCCGCAGACCCUGAUUACUACGGCCGCCCUGCCGUCCAGGAGUUCCCCCAGUUUGACAUCGUAGAGGACGCCUACUCCACCUCCACCAUGGACUCACGGAGGAACUCUCGAUUCGGCGGCUUCCCGUUCCCGCUGGAUCGCUGCGACCGCCGCGCUCCCCUCCCGCCCUGCUACAGCAACCAGAACCUGGACGACUUCCUGGGUCCUGACGGACUUCCUCUGCCCAGCUCCCAGUGCCCCAACGAGUACACCGCCAUCAGCUACUACCCCACGCAGCACACCCGCAGCCUGGACAACGUCUCUGCAGGAUACAAGAGACUAAGCAUGCGUCUGAGUGUCGCCAUGCCAUCGUACGCAGAGCAAGCCAGCCCGCCGCCACCACCGCCGCCACCAAACCCCGCCCAGCCUCAGACGAGACCGGCGGGACAGAACCAGCGGAGCUACGACGGGCUGAGUAUGGUGGAGAGCGACUACGGGAGCUGUGAGGAGGUGAUGUUUUAGGGCUGGUGGUUAUGAAACAGUACGAGUACACUUCACCAUGUUUGACGGCAGCUCUGUGUACGCGUACACGUCUCAGCCUGACUCUUUGAAACUAAUGAACAGCAGCUCAGCGGGCGCUCUCUCAGAGAUCUGACUCUUUUCUCCACAGAUGAAAGCGCCGCGUGAAACAACGCUUCAUUUGUUUGACUUUUCAAAGUAGUGUAGUCGUGCUGUGCUAGACGAGGCGGGGGUAAUUCGGCUCCGUUCCCUUACCUCCAUGCUUUAAGUUCAGCAGGAGUUCACGCCUUUGUCUGAGACGCACUGCCGAGAGUGCUCGUUAACUUGUUAGGGUUGUGAAAUAGUAUUACUGACUUGACUGUGGGCUGAUUCAGAGUCACAAUAUGGCGAGACUUUUUCAGAAGACGAGUCGGCCCUGUGCUGCUGCACCUAAUCUCGUCCAGCUCCACCAAACACUGACAGUGGCAUGUUCACCGUGCAGCGUGUGAUGUGUCGGGCAGGUGGAACACACGGUUGCCAUGACAGCGGCCAGCGUGACAUUCAGACAACAGUGUUCAUUUAUGAUGAAACGCUGAUAACAAGCUGUGAUGAUGCGUCAUGUCAGAGGCGUUCAUCAUGCCGACACUCUGCUGCAUGUGUGUGUUCAUUUAUCUGACCAGCAGCUGGUGUCGGCCCACUGUUUCACACCUGAAGGUAUUAAAGUGACACUGAGCACAUUUCACGCAGGAUAAACAUUUCACUGACUCUUUAAUCUGCUUCUUGUUGCUGUUGUUUCUUGUUGCUCUCUGUGAGAAAGGCGGAGGCUGGAUCCUCAUCAGAAUAAAAAGAUGAAAGCCGCACAUGGCGGUGACACGGUCGAUGUUCGUGGUGAAGUCGAUGUGUUUGAGUGUUUGUAGUUUCACUGCUGUAAAUUCUGUUUAAAUCUGUUGGACUGUAAUUAGUGUGAACGAGGUCUCAGUGUUUCAGUGUUCGUGCUCUGCCCCGAUCAUAAAGGGAAGAAAAAGUGUCCAUGCAGCCAUUUUAAAUGGUGUAAAUAUUCAGAUGAAAGAAAAACUUGUUUUGGUCCAGAGUUUGUUUUUUAUGCAACAUAUUAAAAAGUGAACGUGUUAAACUGAGUUUUAGAGUCUGUGUUAGCUGCAGUUUCUAAAGUCGACUCACAGUUCAGAGCCACAAUUACACAUCAUCAUCAUUUCAUCAAUAUUUCUUUCAUAGAGAGUUUAAAGCAAAAAUGAAUAAUGAUAAAACUGGAGCUAACAAGUGUUUCAUGUUUUUAAUUAAAGGUAGACUCUGCAGGACUGUUAGUGACGCUCGUCAGUCACAGUGAAAGUAAAAGCCGACCUCAGAUUCACUUGUUUCAACACGUUCUCAUCCCAACUCAUCAAAUAUCACCGUUUGAUCAGAGGACUUUAUCGUCUACAUGUGACGUGCGACGUAUCGUCCUGCGUCAGCUGUUGAUGUUCAGAGACGCUGUGUUAAUUUACACCUGUUAUAUGCAUUGUGUCUUUUCAAAAUAAACUUCUGUUUCCACAGGAAAUGUUCAGCUCUGCUCCUUAAAGUCACCAUAACACCUGGAACUAAUGCACGUGGUUAGGUUUAGAAAAAACCUCUCCUGUCUAAGGAGAGCAGCUGGAGUGAAAGUCCAGGGUUUGUUGGACCCAUCCACCUCCUCUCCUCAGCUCCAGCAGCAUUUCAAACUGACACUGUUCGGUGGCGUAUCAUACCACCACAAAAGGUGUCAUUUGGCGUCUGUGUCUGGCGCCAGUGGUGAUAUUUGAUGAGUUCAGAAUAAACAGGCUGGUACCUGACAUCCUGGGAAUGAGGACAGUUUGGUGAACAGGAGCAUAUUCUUCUCAAUUCAGGUUGAUCAUUUUAUUUUUGGUUUUUAUUUUCCUCGACCUGUAUUCACCGUCUGUCUCUUGAAGCCCCGCCCUCCUGAAAAAGCCCAGUCUGCUUUGAUUGGUUAGCGUUUCCAGGUUGUCCAUAGCUCGGCGUCUCUGCUCUGUCACUGCAGCAGGGAACGACUCUAACAAAGUAUUGUGGCACUUUUUACUGUGAGAAAUCAGCAGCAAAAGUUUCUACACACAACUCGCCAUGUUCCAGCAGCAAUAUGAUCAAAAAUCAACAAUAGCACCUGAGUUUGCAUGUUUCGUUGUUGUUAGCAUGUAGCUACAUGUAGCAGGGAGUAUAGUUUCACUUUGUACCCUGAAAAAAAAAAAAAAGUGUCACCAAUAAAAGCUUCUAAACCAAAAUCUUCACAACAGGACAUGUUCCAGCAGGAAUGUGAUGCCAAAUCAGGGAUAUAUUAACAUCAGCAACCAAAAGUUUCCCUGACGUUAGCAUGUAGCUACAUGUAGUAGUGUAUGUAAGGUAAACAGAUGACCAUAGAAAGAAAUCUGUCACCGGCUGACGUCAGCUCGUCUCAUAUUCAGAACUGUCUGAAGGUUUUUACUCACAGAGUUCAGUGUCACAUACGUUCACCUCAUUAUUUAAAACUUGGACUGCGUGUAAUAAAAACAUUUCACAUUUUAACGUCACAUUCAUGACAGGAAAUAAGGAAAAGUUUAACAGGUCUCCUCUGACAGAACCACAGAGCCACAUGCAUUAUGUAGGAGUUGACACAGUAAGUGUGAUAAAGACUGUUUGAGUUUGUCCUCUCAGCAGUUUCCUCUUCAGUCUGUCUUCAUACUCGAAGCUCAGAUCAGAUUGUUUCAUAUCAUCCGUCACAAAAACAACGAGUGUCAGUGAGCGAUGAUACGACUCAAACAAGCGUCUGUUGGCUGCUUUGUGAAUUCCAGCGCAGAUAAACAGCCUCUCAGAUCAGAUCUGAAAGACAGAUCAGAUUUUCAGCUGUGUGGACACUUUGUGUUUUUUGGCAAACGCUGGCUGAAUGCGCUGUUUACCGCCGCCGCCUUUGUGUAAACGUGUCGGGCUGCAGAUGAUGCAUGUAAAAUCAAAGCAACUGGGUUUUUACAUGGCUCCUGGGGUCCUGGGGGCCGGCGAGAUAAACAGGACACGAGGGCGCUGGGCAGACUGGGGAAAGGAAUCCAGGUGAUUCAGACAGGUUCGUCAGUAUCAGCCUGUCGUUUGUUGUUAACGUCCUGACGGUCAGAUCGCUCCCAUCUGGCACCGUAACAGGCUGAAUCAAAGCACACACGCACACACACACACACACACACACACACACACACACUCUGCAGAUAUUAAUGCAGAUUUAGUCUCUGCUGUUUUUACUGCAGUCGUGCUGAGCUGCUGCUGGGCUGUGGCUCUGUCUCUAAAACAGGACGAUGGAAAGAGACGAGAGGUUUGGAAACAGAAUUCAGGACGCAUCGAGAGACGCUCGUACGUGCAGCAUCAGGGAGUGUAACAGAUUUCAGACGUUGAUUCUGACUCGUGUUUUGUCUGAUACAGAAAAAUAUCUCUGGUCUGAAAUGAGAGAUCUGAGAUCUUCAGAAUCAUCAAUCCGUCCAGUCAGAGAAUCCUGAGCUGUCACUGAAGGAACACUUCAACAAAAACAGCCAGCUCGUCUAUGUUGUACUUUAGUAAGUAAAUCUAUCAGGCUUCUCACUGAGGACCGGACGUCUGAGUUAGCUUCUUGUAAAAUACACAACAUCUCACUUUAAGUCUCAACACAUGCAACAUGUAACAUGUUUAUUCAUGCAUCGUUACCAACAGAAAGUAAUGCACCACGAAUACGUUUAUUACCCAUGAAACUCUGACGGCUGUGAUCAGCUGAUGAACGCACUGACAUGAGUAAAGAAGAAAGAAGAGUGAAAGUCUUCAUAAGGACACAGGUUUGGGGGUGGAUGGGUCAAACAAGCACAGGACUUUUCCCAGGAGAUGAGUGUUCAUGUCCCGUCUGAAACCAAGUGAACUUUGAGUUAUUUUAAGGUACGUGUUCAUGUUACCUGAACUAAGUCUCUUUACGUGACGUAUGGAACGUGAUGAUGUCCAACCGUGUUACUUUUCCUAAACCUGACCUGAGUUAUUUUACUUUCUUCAUUCAAACAUUCGUAACUUAAUAUUUCUAUGCCAGACAUCAGUAAUUUUAUCUACUAAACCUAGCCUACGUCACUUUGCUUUACGAUGACACCCAACCAUGUUUCCUUUCCGAAGCAUAACCUUUAUUUUUCUAAAACUAACUUACGUAACUCUACCCUCCUAAAACUAACCUGCGUAACUUAACGUUAAGUACGUGACAUGAGGUCUCCCAAUCAUCAUUUUUCUCUCUGAUCUAACGUGGGCAACUUUACUUAAGUUAAGGAUUUUUCUCCUUGACCUAAAAUAACUGAUAGUGGCGCUAAUUUGUUGGGCACUACUUUACUAGAUAUCAUACAAAGUGUUGGGUCGUUGGUGUAUUUCACAGGAAUAGGCUAGCCGUUUUCUCCUGCCUCUGCUUUUUGUGCUAGGCUAAGCUAAACAUACAGCAGAGCUCCAAGGCAAGUAAGUAAUCUCCCAACAUGUUGGAGUGUUCUGUAAAUAAACUGUUUUUAAAGUUCAAGUGUAUCCUCAAGAUUUAAGAGCAAUACAUUUUACCAUACGUAAAGGAUAAAAAUUAAGUUGUUUAGCCAGAGAAAGCAGACGGUCUGAGCCACAGACACUGAGACAGCAUCUUUCAAAUGGUCAAAAAGUUGUCAAGCAUUUGAGUCUUUUAAAUUUCACAUAAUGGAUUAAUAAUAUUUAAUGAGCACUGACGUUUUGCAGUUUUCCAUGACGCUCCAUGUAUUCCUGCUGCAUUUCCUGUUUCAGUCCGAGCAUUGCACUGAAAACUAAAUAAGCAAGAAGUGACUAUUUCUGAAGACCAGUGAAAGUGUUGUAUCAUAAAAAAAAAGCUAAAUCAACCAUGCUGUUAUAAUAAAUGCUCAAAUAUGUCGAACUUACCAACAUUUACAUUUGAGUCACUGAAUUCCUGCUGUUCUCAAAUUAAUCAUUUUCUAAACUUUAGGCCGGUGUCGUCUCUGCUUUACUCAGAUUUUGAACUCAUAUUGUGAAAUGUGACAGCGUGUCACUGACUCCUCCUCACAGUGUCGUGGUACGUCAUGGGUUAAUGUGUAACGUCCGUCUGUCUCUGGUGGUUCAACUGUGACGUGUUUGAGAGAGAACAUCUAUAGUGUGCAGGUGUUGUGUUGUACAUACAGUGUGUAUCUGUGCUGUAGAUUGUUGUUUGUGCAGAAUAUGACUUCACUUGAAUGUACGUUACUUUUCUUGUUAUUCAUAAAGUUUAUUUUUUUGAAUCAAUGUGGGCCGCCCCAUGUUUGACCCUGGUGUUUCUCUGUGAGAGAUUUUAUUACGAUGCCGCCUUUUCCUUUUGUUUUCCAGUAUUGUAAAGAGAAUAUAUGAAUAAAGAUAUUAUCUUCU
RNA transcript from Epinephelus moara (kelp grouper), 18728 nucleotides. It is a transcript of the gene named FAT atypical cadherin 2, with no coding region annotated. Lineage: Eukaryota; Metazoa; Chordata; Actinopteri; Perciformes; Serranidae. The record is from RefSeq and is a predicted model, not a curated record. The transcript is spliced from 30 exons.